AUAUUUAUAUAACAUUAAUAAUCGUAUUAUUGCAUCGCUGGGAGAAUGAAGUCGUCGAGGUACGACGUGACCCUAGUGUAAACGCCGGGAUAUCCAGCUGCGGCGCACUUAUGACCAUAAGACACAACACCUAUUUGAUAGAAGCAUCCUUUCCGCCCUGAGUGUAUCCGGCGCAUAAUACAGUAUCGGUAACAUGUGCAGCAGCAAAUCUGGCAUAAGAGUUCUUGCAUUCGGUGUUGCUAAUCACUGGCACUUGUACUUCCAUUAAAUCGUCACUACCUGGUCCAUCUAUAAAGAAAAUGAGAAAGAUAUUUAAGACAGGAACUAUUUCAUUUUAUUGGAGAAUUGAUAUCACUUACGAUGUGCUAGUGAUCCCCAUCCAGCAACGAAGGGGUAAUAGCGCUCGAAAUUGUUAUUUCGAAGGGAUUUCUCUAUGGGGAGACAAAUGGGAUAUAUGUACUCUGAAAAAUAAGAAAAUAAAUGAAAGUGAAGGAAACGAAUGACGAAAAGUAUGAGAAAGAAUUGUACAUGUUUUAUGGUACAGUAUACGUGUACAGUAAGAAAUUUCAGUAAUACCCAGUAGCAUAAAUAUUAGAAACUCAAUAAUAUUUGAAGACUUACCCGAAAAUGGAACAUCUUCCUUCAGUUUAAGAAUAGCAAUAUCAUUAUUGUUCGACUCGGAAGAAUAAUCGGGAUGUAUUAGUUUAGAGUCGACUUCUAUUUGAAUAGGAUGCGCUCCGUCGUCAUCUCGUUUUAGAUUUAAGUCCCCGAUACGAACCACGUACAAAUCAUCUAUUGCACAAUGUGCUGCGGUCAGAACAUGCCUAGCCGAUAUCAGGGAACCUCCGCAAUGCCAUUGCGGAUCCUUCCACGGGUGUGUGUAAUUAUGAAAGCCUAAUGCAACGAUCCAUGGCCAAGCACCUAAAACGCAAUACUUAUAGUUGCGAACAUACAUAAUUUCCUCUCGCGUAAAAACUAUUAUUAUCUAUUCGAUAUUCGAUCAUGUAGAAGACGAUAAGUACAUACCUACAAAUGCUCUCAAAUAGAGAUUUGAUAAAGAGAGAAAUUAAAUUUUAACUUUACUGGAAUAAAAAUUAUUAAACAAUUCUAUAUAAUUUCUACUUAAACUGUACUGAACUAUAAAGUUCAAACAUGUAAUAUCUCCCCAGCAGUUUUUGAUCUCUAUCCAUAUUAUUACUCCUAUAUCGAUUUUUAAUUCCAAAUAAAAAGAUACUCUUCCUAACAUGAGGUAAAAAAGGAAGUAAUUCAAGUUAAUAAGUAAAGUUACUACCGAUGAAGUCCUAGUAUUAUUAUUUAAUUUAAUUGAAACGUAUUUUGAUGUGCUAUUCAGUGUAUUUAAAGUUCAUACUUCGUAACAAAUCGCGUAUUACUAAUCGGAAAGGAAGAGAUAAAACGUACCAAGCUUCGCUGGUUUACCACCAACCACUCUGGUAUGCGUAGCGUUACUAAAACCACAGUAUGGUGGUCGCAAUGCCCUAUACUUAUACUUAGUUUCAAUAGAAAUCAAAAGUCCUCUCUUCUGUUUGUUUGGAUUGUUCGGACAACAAUAGAUCUGAUCAUUGUCAUUGGAUGGGCACAGUGAUUGUCUAAAAAAGUCGGCGGCUGCAUGGUCCUGUGUCUGUUGUAUUUCUUGCAGAG
Molecule: unclassified non-coding RNA, 1659 nt
Filed under: Bombus terrestris (buff-tailed bumblebee)
Lineage: Eukaryota; Metazoa; Arthropoda; Insecta; Hymenoptera; Apidae
Description: misc RNA ENSBTSG00005033203.1
Source: RNAcentral